UACAGAGGUCUCAAGCGUUGUUCGGAUUCAUUGGGCGUAAAGGGUGUGUAGGCGGCGCGGUAAGUCGGGUGUGAAAUCUCGGAGCUUAACUCCGAAACUGCAUUCGAUACUGCCGUGCUUGAGGACUGGAGAGGAGACUGGAAUUUACGGUGUAGCGGUGAAAUGCGUAGAUAUCUGGAGGAACACCGGUGGCGAAGGCGGCAUCCUGGACCAACACUGACACUGAGGAGCGAAAGCCAGGGGAGCAAACGGG
This 253-nucleotide ribosomal RNA is filed under the name uncultured bacterium. RNAcentral's name for it is "partial 16S ribosomal RNA". It matches the Rfam family "Bacterial small subunit ribosomal RNA", at positions 524 to 776 of the family's 1533-position model. The record is from RNAcentral.